GUGACUAAUGAGUGGGUGGCAUAUCCAGAGGGAUACGCCAAGCAAGAUGAUGAUGUGCAAAGGCAGGAAGAACUCAAGCUCCUUUCUUAGGGCUGGGAACAACAGUACUGGGGCUUGAACGUGGGCCUCAAGCACGCUGGGUGACAGGUAACUGAAAGCGCAGGUACGCGGGAGGCUAUAGCAUUCACCGUCCCUUCCUCUGACAGUUUUCUCUCAAGCACACACUGCACCUAAGCACUUAGAGGUUCAUGGCCUCCUCCUCCUCUGCACAGGCCUAAGCGGAGGAGGAAAGUGACCGGGAGAAGAUGCUCGAGAUACCCGAGGUUACACCGCAAUACGGGGCACACCCGAGGAGCCAAGCCCGGGCUCCACCUGGCGGAGGGCGGGCUGGGCCCAGGCCCUGAAGAACCCUAUCUCCGGCCGGGGUGAGGGGCCCCGUCUCCUCGGAACGCAGACUGCCUUCUCAAGUUAACUUUCCUCCGCAGCCCCGGGAAGCUGCCGUAACUCGCAGCGCCGUACCGAUCCCACCCGCCGGGAAGCCGCGGCCGGGUUAUCCGAACCUGAAUACUUACCUCCGGUACCGCCGUGCCGCCGCACCGGAAGUGAUCCUCGUGACCCGGAAGCGAUGUGCCCGGAGCAGCGGCAGAUUCCGCUCACCGGGCUUUACCCGGCACGCGGCUUCCUCGCCGGCCUCCUCGUGCUCUUUCCUAAAUACACACUGAAGGUUUCCACUGCA
Mastomys coucha (southern multimammate mouse) is the source of this 736-nucleotide long non-coding RNA. RefSeq lists it as uncharacterized. The transcript is spliced from 2 exons. Lineage: Eukaryota; Metazoa; Chordata; Mammalia; Rodentia; Muridae. The record is from RefSeq and is a predicted model, not a curated record.